RNAcentral lists this long non-coding RNA (679 nucleotides) under Cyanistes caeruleus (blue tit). RNAcentral describes it as "lncRNA (ENSCCEG00000004491.1)". Lineage: Eukaryota; Metazoa; Chordata; Aves; Passeriformes; Paridae. The record is from RNAcentral.
AUGUUAGUUUCAUUUUACAGAGAGUCUAGAAAAGUUGGCAAACCUGUGGACCAAGCCAUUCCUAGAGCUGGCAACAAACCCUGGCAGUCACAGCUGUCACUCCCAGAUAAUUUGUCUCGUGGGACCAAAAGAGAAGAGACCAAUAAAGAAGAAGGAUGCAAAGUUCUGCAAGGAACAAGACAGCUAAGCACUGGUCUUGGCUGGAUGGAGCAACUAAGUAAUGAAAAGCAAUUUGAAGGAAUUUAGCAGAAUGCUUCACUAGAUGAGACAGAAGUUUGUAAAGUUGAAGGUUGGAAACAGCUGCUAUAUUUGCCAGUUUUCAAAAGACAAGCAAAUUAAACUCUACAAAGUUAAAAUAGCAUUCAGUUUCUUGCUGUAUGUAUAUAGUAAAAACUGUAUUUGGUUAAAUAAUUGUAAAGCUUCUUAUGCUGCUAUCUAAACACUGUUUAUUAUUCUUCCAGCAUUGCAUCCUUCUAUCAAUCAAAAAUAUAUGCCUUUCUUAACAUCUCCUGCUCAGUCCAAUUUUGCUUAGUAAUUCUUCCAAUAAGUAUUUGCAAACGAGCUUUUUUUCAGACAUGACACCAGAAAAAUGCAUUUGAAAGAGAAACAUGUGAGAGAAAAGAUAUUGUGCCAAGGUGUUAAUUAAUUAAUUUUUAUAUUAAUUCAACCUUCUAAUGAC